Molecule: ribosomal RNA, 1002 nt
Filed under: Staphylococcus aureus
Lineage: Bacteria; Bacillati; Bacillota; Bacilli; Caryophanales; Staphylococcaceae
Description: partial 23S ribosomal RNA
Rfam family: Bacterial large subunit ribosomal RNA
Source: RNAcentral
AUUAGACGAAUCAUCUGGAAAGAUGAAUCAAAGAAGGUAAUAAUCCUGUAGUCGAAAAUGUUGUCUCUCUUGAGUGGAUCCUGAGUACGACGGAGCACGUGAAAUUCCGUCGGAAUCUGGGAGGACCAUCUCCUAAGGCUAAAUACUCUCUAGUGACCGAUAGUGAACCAGUACCGUGAGGGAAAGGUGAAAAGCACCCCGGAAGGGGAGUGAAAUAGAACCUGAAACCGUGUGCUUACAAGUAGUCAGAGCCCGUUAAUGGGUGAUGGCGUGCCUUUUGUAGAAUGAACCGGCGAGUUACGAUUUGAUGCAAGGUUAAGCAGUAAAUGUGGAGCCGUAGCGAAAGCGAGUCUGAAUAGGGCGUUUAGUAUUUGGUCGUAGACCCGAAACCAGGUGAUCUACCCUUGGUCAGGUUGAAGUUCAGGUAACACUGAAUGGAGGACCGAACCGACUUACGUUGAAAAGUGAGCGGAUGAACUGAGGGUAGCGGAGAAAUUCCAAUCGAACCUGGAGAUAGCUGGUUCUCUCCGAAAUAGCUUUAGGGCUAGCCUCAAGUGAUGAUUAUUGGAGGUAGAGCACUGUUUGGACGAGGGGCCCCUCUCGGGUUACCGAAUUCAGACAAACUCCGAAUGCCAAUUAAUUUAACUUGGGAGUCAGAACAUGGGUGAUAAGGUCCGUGUUCGAAAGGGAAACAGCCCAGACCACCAGCUAAGGUCCCAAAAUAUAUGUUAAGUGGAAAAGGAUGUGGCGUUGCCCAGACAACUAGGAUGUUGGCUUAGAAGCAGCCAUCAUUUAAAGAGUGCGUAAUAGCUCACUAGUCGAGUGACACUGCGCCGAAAAUGUACCGGGGCUAAACAUAUUACCGAAGCUGUGGAUUGUCCUUUGGACAAUGGUAGGAGAGCGUUCUAAGGGCGUUGAAGCAUGAUCGUAAGGACAUGUGGAGCGCUUAGAAGUGAGAAUGCCGGUGUGAGUAGCGAAAGACGGGUGAGAAUCCCGUCCACC